Molecule: non-coding RNA, 116 nt
Filed under: Clostridium sp.
Lineage: Bacteria; Bacillati; Bacillota; Clostridia; Eubacteriales; Clostridiaceae
Also listed under: 1 other name
Description: Azaaromatic sequence
Rfam family: azaaromatic riboswitch aptamer (yjdF RNA)
Source: RNAcentral
UGCUUAAGAGAUAAAAACACAGUUUCUGUUGGUAGUCAGAACCUAUAUUUAAUCAUUAAAAUUUAAUAUAGCAGUAACCUGCCCUCCUGGGGUUGUCCGUUCUCUAUAAAGUUAUA